Molecule: ribosomal RNA, 417 nt
Filed under: Triticum aestivum (bread wheat)
Lineage: Eukaryota; Viridiplantae; Streptophyta; Magnoliopsida; Poales; Poaceae
Description: partial small subunit ribosomal RNA
Source: RNAcentral
AUGUCGGCAUGGUUUUACAUCCCAGAAUGUGCUUGCACUAUUGACUUUGACAUGAGGUUUACCUUUGUGGUUGCGGGUUGGCCGGGCUCUGCCCAUGACUCAAGGAUCCUGAAUCAUGCAUUAGCACACUUCUCUUCAUUUCUUGUACCUCCCAAAGGGAAAUACUAUCUUGUGGACUAUGGGUAUGCAAACCGAAUAGGAUAUUUUGCUCCUUUUAAGGGGAGUACGUAUCAUCUACCGGAAUUCCGUCUUCAUCGGCACCGUCCACCUCAAGGGAAGUAUGAGUUGUUCAACUUUUCACAUUCGUCCCUUCUCAAUGUCGUUGAGCGUGCUUUUGGGGUGCUCAAGCAGAAAUGGCGCAUAUUGAAAGGGGUCCCAAGUUAUUACUUGCAUGGCAUUGCACAACUUCAUUCGUGA